GACGAACGCUGGCGGCGUGCUUAACACAUGCAAGUCGAACGGAAAGGCCCUGCUUUUGUGGGGUGCUCGAGUGGCGAACGGGUGAGUAACACGUGAGUAACCUGCCCUUGACUUUGGGAUAACUUCAGGAAACUGGGGCUAAUACCGGAUAGGAGCUCCUGCUGCAUGGUGGGGGUUGGAAAGUUUCGGCGGUUGGGGAUGGACUCGCGGCUUAUCAGCUUGUUGGUGGGGUAGUGGCUUACCAAGGCUUUGACGGGUAGCCGGCCUGAGAGGGUGACCGGCCACAUUGGGACUGAGAUACGGCCCAGACUCCUACGGGAGGCAGCGGUGGGGAAUAUGGCACAAUGGGCGGAAGCCUAAUGCAGCAACGCCGCGUGCGGGAUGACGGCCUUCGGGUUGUAAACCGCUUUCGCCUGUGACGAAGCGUGAGUGACGGUAAUGGGUAAAGAAGCACCGGCUAACUACGUG
Molecule: ribosomal RNA, 468 nt
Filed under: uncultured bacterium
Lineage: Bacteria
Description: partial 16S ribosomal RNA
Rfam family: Bacterial small subunit ribosomal RNA
Source: RNAcentral